GCAGCAGUGAAGCACAGUGGUAAGGCACAGGGCUCAUAACCGAAAGGUUCCUGGUUCGAUUCCCCGCUGGGGCA
Megalops atlanticus (tarpon) is the source of this 74-nucleotide non-coding RNA. The record is from the annotation of a GenBank genome assembly. NCBI's taxonomy places the organism in Eukaryota, Metazoa, Chordata, Actinopteri, Elopiformes, Megalopidae.